RNA transcript from Capra hircus (goat), 1129 nucleotides. It is a transcript of the gene named solute carrier family 25 member 39 pseudogene, with no coding region annotated. The record is from RefSeq and is a predicted model, not a curated record. The transcript is spliced from 2 exons. NCBI's taxonomy places the organism in Eukaryota, Metazoa, Chordata, Mammalia, Artiodactyla, Bovidae.
AUGCCUCAAAGAUGGAAAGUUUGCAAUUAUCUAUUUAAAUUGGGUGGUUUAACCCUGGUGAUGACUGUGCCAGACACUGCCGCCUACUUCACCACCCAGGACCAACUCAAGGCCUUCCUGUGUGGUCGAGCCCUGACCUCUGACCUCUACGCUCCCAUGGUGGCUGUCGCACUGGCCUGCCUGGGCACCGUGACUGUGAUCAGAUCCCUAGAGCUGGUGCGGACAAAGCUGCAGGCUCAGCACCUAUCAUACCGGGAGCUGGGCACCUGUGUCCGAGCAGCUGUGGCUCAGGGUGGCUGGCACUCACUCUGGCUGGGCUGGGGUCCCACUGCCCUUCGGGAUGUGCCCUUCUCAGCUCUGUACUGGUUCAACUAUGAACUGGUGAAGAGCUGGCUGAGUGGGCUCAGGCCAAAGGACCAGACCUCCGUGGGCAUCAGCUUUGUUGCUGGCGGCAUCUCAGGGAUGGUGGCGGCCACCCUGACUUUACCCUUCGACGUGGUGAAGACUCAGCGCCAGGUCGCGCUAGGAGCAGUGGAGGCUGUGAGAGUGAUGCCCCCGUACACCGACUCCACGUGGCUGCUGCUCCGGAGGAUCCUGGCCAAGUCAGGCACCAGGGGCCUCUUUGCAGGCUUCCUCCCAAGGAUCAUCAAGGCCACCCCUUCCUGCGCCAUCAUGAUCAGCACUUAUGAGUUCCGCAAAAGCUUCUUCCAGAGGCUCAACAGGGAACAGCUUCUGAGCCCUUGAAAGGAGUGAGGGACAAGGACCCUACCUCUUCCAUGGACAGGGUGGGGCAGGAGGAGACUGAGCCAAGUGCCUUUUCCUUCAGCACUGAGGGGAGGGGCCUCAUUUCUCUUUCCACCCCACUCAGCCCCAGGGGUAGGGGAAUGCCCCUCUGCACCCACCCAGAGCACCCCCCCAACCCCCGACUGCCUCUUGCUGUUCCCCAUUCCCCAGCCAGAGAAUCAUCACUCUCUCCCCUCAAGUUCAAGACCAAAUCUGCUCACUUCUCCCCUCAUUUCCCUGUGGGUUUGCUGUAAGUGAGCCUGUCUCUAGGAGCCACAAAACCCUGGGCCUGGCAUAGUCUGCAUGCACCCCUGUUAAUUUGUUGAGUCUAAAGAUGAUAAACUUC